Molecule: ribosomal RNA, 609 nt
Filed under: Ablabesmyia aspera
Lineage: Eukaryota; Metazoa; Arthropoda; Insecta; Diptera; Chironomidae
Description: eukaryotic LSU rRNA
Rfam family: Eukaryotic large subunit ribosomal RNA
Source: RNAcentral
CGGAGAAAUUCAAUACUGUUCUUCRCGGAACGGUGUGCACUUUUCUCUUAGUAAGACGUUGUGAUCCAUUAGGAAUCGAUUUACCGCAYGGUUUAUCAUUGUGCUACCAACAGGCUGACGUUGAAGUUCAUCCAGUCGAAUGGCGCGAUCUUUUGGUUGUGUGUAUCGACGGGUGAGCAAUGUCNUGUACUGAUGUAGCUGCCUGAUGGAUUUUAAAGGUCACAUCAUUGAUGCUUGCAUCANNCCCGCCUUCGGGCGGGUUAUAGGAUGUGUGCCCGAUCAACAACGGUUUCAUUUGGGAUACCUUUUGGACCCGUCUUGAAACACGGACCAAGGAGUCUAUCUAGUAUGCGAGUAAAUGGGAUUAACGAACUAAACCUAUUUGCGUAAAUAACUUGACUGUUUAGAUGGGAUUACGUGCAAAUCAUUUCUGUAUAGAGUUUGCACCUCCAUCCCGGGGCAUUUUCACAACAUAUAUGGGCAACUAUAUAUAGAAAAUGUACCAUGAGCAUACUGGACAUGACCCGAAAGAUGGUGAACUAUGCCUGAUCAGGUUGAAGUCAGGGGAAACCCUGAUGGAGGACCGAAGCAAUUCUGACGUGCAAAUCG